This 452-nucleotide ribosomal RNA is filed under the name uncultured Glomeromycotina. RNAcentral describes it as "eukaryotic LSU rRNA". It matches the Rfam family "Eukaryotic large subunit ribosomal RNA", at positions 339 to 647 of the family's 3401-position model. Lineage: Eukaryota; Fungi; Glomeromycota. The record is from RNAcentral.
AGCGAACAAGUACCGUGAGGGAAAGAUGAAAAGAACUUUAAAAGAGAGUAAAAUAGUACGUGAAAAUUGUUGAAAGGGAAACGAUUGAAGUCAGUCGUCCGACGAGAAAUCAACCUUUCGAGCAUGAUCUUGUGGGUGCGUAAGAGUCUUUAUAAGCUUUGCGUUUACAAGUUUGUGUUUCUUUGGCGUAUUUUUUCGUAUGGUUGGUUAACAUCAUUUUGGUAAUCAUAAAAUGAUUGGAGGAAUGUAGCUUCGAUUUUUUCGUAGUGUUAUAGCUUCGGUAGAUAUGAUUAUUGAGAUUGAGGAUUGCAACGAAUACCUUCAGGGCUGUCCCCCUGGCCUCUCGUCGGCAUCCUGGCGGCGACAGCUUGCUGACGUUGUUAGGAUCGGCCUCGAACAGGCUAGAGUGUGAGCAAAUUCGUUAAGGAUGUUAACGUAAUGGCUUUAAACGA